Molecule: unclassified non-coding RNA, 428 nt
Filed under: Hevea brasiliensis (rubber tree)
Lineage: Eukaryota; Viridiplantae; Streptophyta; Magnoliopsida; Malpighiales; Euphorbiaceae
Source: RNAcentral
CCACGAGUUCGGAUGUACUUGGGCUACACUUACGUGGUGAAACUUCAGAACAUCCUUGAAGAAGUCAUCAAGGGGAAAUCGAAGCCCGGCUUUUAAUUGCUCUUCGUACACCAUGAUCGCAUCAUUUUCCUUGAAAGAGUGAUCGGCUCUGAGAUCGCUAUGGCAUCUGAUAAGAUCAAAGGAGUCUGUUCGAAGGUUGUAUUCUUGACUAAUGGAUUGCAGAUCGGUCUCCUAGAGGACCGACGGCAACUCGUCCACCGGGAGAUUCUCUCUACCCGAGGAAGAUGUCUGCCUUGAUUGAGUUGCUCGACCACGAACUAAAGCGGAAGUCGUAAGAGGCUCAGAUCGCCCACCUGGUCUGACCACUUCAACUUCAUCCGAUGAUCACGAGACAUGGACGGAAUGGGGGCUCGCCGCUCUCUGACCCU